UGCAGUCGAACGAUGAAAGCUGGAGCUUGCUCUAGCUGGAUUAGUGGCGAACGGGUGAGUAACACGUGAGCAAUCUGCCCUGGACUCUGGGAUAACCCCGAGAAAUCGGAGCUAAUACCGGAUACGACACCUCCCGGCAUCGGGUGGGUGUGGAAAGAAUUUCGGUCCAGGAUGAGCUCGCGGCCUAUCAGCUUGUUGGUGAGGUAACGGCUCACCAAGGCGACGACGGGUAGCCGGCCUGAGAGGGUGACCGGCCACACUGGGACUGAGACACGGCCCAGACUCCUACGGGAGGCAGCAGUGGGGAAUAUUGCACGAUGGGCGCAAGCCUGAUGCAGCAACGCCGCGUGGGGGACGACGGCCUUCGGGUUGUAAACCUCUUUUAGUAGGGAAGAAGCGCAAGUGACGGUACCUACAGAAAAAGCACCGGCUAACUACGUGCCAGCAGCCGCGGUAAUACGUAGGGUGCAAGCGUUGUCCGGAAUUAUUGGGCGUAAAGAGCUCGUAGGCGGUUUGUCGCGUCUGCUGUGAAAAUCCGAGGCUCAACCUCGGACCUGCAGUGGGUACGGGCAAACUAGAGUGCGGUAGGGGAGAUUGGAAUUCCUGGUGUAGCGGUGGAAUGCGCAGAUAUCAGGAGGAACACCAAUGGCGAAGGCAGAUCUCUGGGCCGUAACUGACGCUGAGGAGCGAAAGCGUGGGGAGCGAACAGGAUUAGAUACCCUGGUAGUCCACGCCGUAAACGGUGGGAACUAGAUGUGGGGUCCGUUCCACGGAUUCCGUGUCGCAGCUAACGC
RNAcentral lists this ribosomal RNA (794 nucleotides) under uncultured Actinomycetales bacterium. RNAcentral's name for it is "bacterial SSU rRNA". It matches the Rfam family "Bacterial small subunit ribosomal RNA", at positions 56 to 858 of the family's 1533-position model. Lineage: Bacteria; Bacillati; Actinomycetota; Actinomycetes; Actinomycetales. The record is from RNAcentral.